RNAcentral lists this long non-coding RNA (2079 nucleotides) under Scophthalmus maximus (turbot). RNAcentral's name for it is "lncRNA (ENSSMAG00000030286.1)". Lineage: Eukaryota; Metazoa; Chordata; Actinopteri; Pleuronectiformes; Scophthalmidae. The record is from RNAcentral.
CCGCCGUCAUGGUUUAAUAUUUUCGAUCAGAUACUGUCGGGGAAAAAAAGACAAAAUGUUGCAGAUUUCUUCAGCAUGAGCAUUUUGUGGGUAUAAAAUAUCGGCCAUGUUUCACUUCCUUCAGAAUGCAUUGGCAUACAGUAGAAUAAAUUAAAGGUCAUUUUACAUCUACUUCCUUGGACUUUUGCUUGAUACUUUCCACAACCUCUGUAACACAAAGCAGCUUUACUGAUAAAUGUUUGUUUCUUUUCAGAAAAUUGGAUUUUCCUUUAUUCUUUCAAUGGGAUCCUCCUGACUGGAGGAUAAUAGAGUAUCUUCAUGAGUCUUCUGGGCAUCGUUGAGAAACAGUGUACUGCUGUAAUGCUGCUCAGCUUAAAAGCCAAAACACCUUUGAUGGAGGAUGAACGCUGCCGAUCCAAGCUGCCCCUCAUGUGCUUGACAAGACUAAAGACACUGCUCAGCCAUGAGCGAAGCAGUUUCAGCAUCCCUCUCUGCCGCGGGCUAAUUGGCUGAUUGACCUAUAGUCACCUCUGAUGUCUCUUUCACAUUUAGUGUGACAGAGACAUCAGAGGCAGGGAUAAAAAAAUUGUACUGAUUCUUUACUUCUCCUUUAACUUGUGCAAAACACAGCAGCUAGGGUUAUCACAACUCAAAAAUAUGACCACAUUUCACCCAUUCUCGUCUCAUUGCACUGGUUACCCAUAGUUCUUAGAAUGGAUUUUAUGACUUGUUUUUAAUUCACUGAAUGGCCUUGCACUGCAUUGAUUAGCAGACCCUCUCAUCUCUUAUGCCCCUGCUCGUCCUUGUUGUUCCGUUUCUAUCCGUUGCUCUCAGGACUUGAGACAGAGGGAGGUAGGUCUUUCACUGUGGGGGCUCCACAACUGUGGAACGACCUCCACCUACAGUUGCCUCUUUUAAAACUCUUAAAAAUGCAUUUCGAUAAAAUGGCUUUCCGACUAAACGUCUUGCAUUACCUUGUUUAAAAUUGUAAUUCCAUUGUGUUUAUUUUCUGUUUUUUAUGUCUGUGAAGCACUUUGUGAAACCUGUUUUUUUAAAAGUUCUAUAUAAAUACAGCACAGUAACAUGAUAUUAUUAUCUCUCCUGUACACGAGAAGUCUUUCAAACUUCAUACAACCAGUUUCUAACCAAUUAUCAUUUUAUAAGGUUUAUCUCCUGCAAAGCUGCAAAAAAUAUUAUUGUCUUUAGUUUCCCUGUUUAGUAGUGAGAUUUGUUAGGUCAUACGAUAUGACUCGAAAUCAGUAAGGCACCCCACAGUUUACAGUAGAUGAAGAUUGUUUUUGAUGAAUGUUGCAAGUGAUCAGUUAUAUUUAAUAUUGCACAAGAACCCCCUCCCAUGAAGGCUGCCAUAUGUCCAGUAAAACGUUAUCUAUGAAAAAAUCUCCAUACUGAGCUGUGAGAAAUGAAACAGCCAGCAAUUCAAGCGUGGAAGGACAGUGUUAAAGUCUUACAACUGAAGUAAUUAUGAUGGGAAAUAGAAGAAGAAGAGCCUGAAGGCCCUUAAAUGCCACAGUUGAUUUAAUAAAAACAAAUGUAUUUAAUUUGAUUAUUUUUAAUUUGAUUUCACUGCCAUGGUCAUGAUGAUGUGAUUUACGGUAGAGCUUCUAGGCCCACAAGGUUUGGGAAUAUGGAUUGCAUUAUGCCAGUAAGGGUCCUUAUAAGUAUGGCGAUACGUAUGUAUGUGAGUGAGACCACACACCGGAAAUGAACUGCAGUCUGAUGAUGACAAAGUGGAGAGCAGAAAUACACUCCUCUGCAAAAUCAGAUCACCGAGGCAUUAGAGGUGAUGUCACAUUUAAAGGGGCGGUGCAGGUAAUGAGGAAGUCCUCACUGAUAUUUCUGAGAUGCUGAUAAUAUUAUGUAAAUAUAUAUCAUACUUUAUUAGUACUGUACAGAAAUUGUGCAAUCGUGUUGACCCUUCUCGGCCACCGUAGUAUUAUGUGCAGAUUGAUGUUUUACAAAGACAAUACAACAGCAAAAUGUCUCAUAUAUAUAUAUAUAUUUGAAUUUUGUCAUGUUGACUCUCCUACAGUAACAUUUUGCAGGUGGCAACACAAUUUC